Molecule: ribosomal RNA, 743 nt
Filed under: uncultured bacterium
Lineage: Bacteria
Description: bacterial SSU rRNA
Rfam family: Bacterial small subunit ribosomal RNA
Source: RNAcentral
AGAGUUUGAUCAUGGCUCAGGAUGAACGCUAGCGAUAGGCCUAACACAUGCAAGUCGAGGGGCAUCACAUGAAGUAGCAAUACGGAUGGUGGCGACCGGCGCAGGGGUGACUAACGCGUAUGCAACCUGCCUACAACAGGGGGAUAACCCGUUGAACGACGGACUAAUACCCCAUAACACAGGGGUCCCGCAUGGCAAUAUUUGUUAAAGAUUUAUCGGUUGUAGAUGGGCAUGCGUUCCAUUAGCUAGUUGGUGAGGUAAGGGCUCACCAAGGCAACGAUGGAUAGGGGAACUGAGAGGUUUAUCCCCCACACUGGUACUGAGACACGGACCAGACUCCUACGGGAGGCAGCAGUGAGGAAUAUUGGUCAAUGGGCGCAAGCCUGAACCAGCCACGUGGCGUGAAGGAAGACGGCCCUACGGGUUGUAAACUUCUUUUGUAAGGGAAUAAAGUGCAUUACUCGUACUGUUUUGCAUGUACCUUACGAAUAAAGAUCGGCUAACUCCUUGCCAGCAUCCGCGGUAAUACGGAGGAUCCAAGCGUUAUCCGGAUUUGUUGGAUUUAAAGGGUGCGCAGGCGGGAGAUUAAGUCGGCGGUGAAAUUUUGCAGCUCAACUGUAAAAGUGCCUUCGAAACUGGUUUUCUUGAGUGUAGAUGACGUACGCGGAAUUUGUGGUGUAGCGGUGAAAUGCAUAGAUAUCACGAGGAACUCCGAUUGCGCCAGAAGCUUACUAAUCUACAAC